Molecule: ribosomal RNA, 517 nt
Filed under: uncultured bacterium
Lineage: Bacteria
Description: bacterial SSU rRNA
Rfam family: Bacterial small subunit ribosomal RNA
Source: RNAcentral
UGGACGCAAGUCUGACCCAGCCAUGCCGCGUGCAGGAAGACAGCCCUAUGGGUUGUAAACUGCUUUUGUCAGGGAAUAAACCCCCGGAUGUAUCCGGGGCUGAAUGUACCUGAAGAAUAAGCAUCGGCUAACUCCGUGCCAGCAGCCGCGGUAAUACGGAGGAUGCAAGCGUUAUCCGGAUUCAUUGGGUUUAAAGGGUGCGCAGGCGGAUUAUUAAGUCAGUGGUGAAAUCCUACAGCUCAACUGUAGAACUGCCAUUGAUACUGAUAAUCUUGAGUAUAUUUGAAGUGGGCGGAAUGUAGCAUGUAGCGGUGAAAUGCAUAGAUAUGCUACAGAACACCAAUUGCGAAGGCAGCUCACUAAACUAUAACUGACGCUCAUGCACGAAAGCGUGGGGAUCAAACAGGAUUAGAUACCCUGGUAGUCCACGCUGUAAACGAUGAUUACUCGUUGUUGGCGAUACACAGUCAGCGACCAAGCGAAAGUGAUAAGUAAUCCACCUGGGAGUACGAUCGCA